RNAcentral lists this long non-coding RNA (3351 nucleotides) under Gallus gallus (chicken). RNAcentral's name for it is "lncRNA (ENSGALG00010002207.1)". Lineage: Eukaryota; Metazoa; Chordata; Aves; Galliformes; Phasianidae. The record is from RNAcentral.
CGAACUUUGUAGCAUGCUGCACCAUGAUUGUUGUUCACAUUUCAAAGCAACCUCAAGGAAAACUGUAAAUAAGAACUAAGGCAUAAAAAUACACUCGCACCUGGGAAUACUCAGCAUGCUGUACACCAGAGCUGCAUCCAAGCCCUGGCAAACAGCCAGCUGCUGAGGAGAAAUCUGGAAGGGCUUAAUAUGGACUGGAGAACUGAUCUACUUGGAAACAAACUACGUGGGUGUACUUAUCUCCUUGUCGCAUACUGUAGUCAUUUUGCUACUUUGAAUAAAAAAUAGGUCUUGUCAUCAUGUUAUAGGCCUCAACAUCGCACUUCUGGUGCAUAGAGCCCACACCUAGCGAGAACAAUCAUUUUCCUUUUGUUGGAAGCUUUUAAUGGGCAGCUGGAUGUGAACCUUCAGACCAAAGAAAGUGGUCUGAAUUCAUUUCAGAAAGAGGAGAUACUGUACUGGAAGCUGCGAGAAGUAAUAGGAUGAACAGUAUUAAGUCUGAGUCAUAAAAUAAAAAGUCAUCGAUGAGUCAUUUGUGGAAGUUGCCAUAGCUAUACAACAAAACACGAGGUUUCUGUUUAUAUACGGACAAAUGAGCUGUUUCCUACUUACUGUAACAAUAGUACUGGACCUUUGGAGACACAGUUACUUCUCCUGAUCACCACUGGGUUCCUUCACAGCCUGCUGUUACUCCUGCUUCUCUGAAGUAUAUACUCUUAUGUUGGAUGGGAAAAUAUGGCCUCUAACAACAUGAGUAACAUCCUUUCACUGCACACCAGUUGCACAUAGAGAAGAGGAAAACUAGAAUGUCAAGAAGGAAAAAGCACCAUCUCUUUUACCUGUCAGUACUAGGACCUACAGACCUUUCCAUCUUAAUUUAUCAUGAAGACCUAGCUAAAAAUACAGUUCCUGACAAGUGGUUCCAAAUAAAUUAAUUGAAAACAUCAACAAGAAAGAUCAUUGACACUUCUGCUAGUUUUACUUUCCUGCAAAAUGAAUCAUUCUGGGUACUGCUGUUUCUUCUGUAGCCUGGAGUAUAACUGUUUACACAUUUAAAAGAGGAUUGUUCAGCUCAUGCAGUCACCUUGGAAAAUGCCAACCAGAUUCCUUUAUGAUGGAACUAAACUGGGAUAUAUUCCCUGGAAGCAUUGUGAAAAUACACCAACUGCAAAAAGGGACAAAGCUCAUGGGCAACACAAGGACCAAUCUAAAUUAAACUCCCCUUGAAAUGUGUACAUCGGGGACACUGGAUCUUAAACAUUAUUUGUUUUGUUUUGCAAAUCUACUGCUUAGCUACACUGCUAGACCAUACAUAACCCUGAAGACCAUAAAGUUUAUUCACUGAAUGCUGAACUUCUCUGAAAAUCUAAAUGUGAGAAUGACAAAAAGCAGUUCACAGACAUUGUAGUUCUUCUCUGCACAGAUAAAUGCACAGUGUCUCAAAAAUACUUCAACAGAGUCUUUUGAAAAUCCAUGGCAUCAUCGGAGAAACAGAGCUGACUGAUUUUGUCUGAAAAAAAAAUUUAGAAGAUGGUUUCAUUUGUAUUUUAGCACAGGAAAUUGUCAGAAGUCUGCCAACAGUUCUGUAAAAUUCUCCAUCUCCUCACUACUUCUUCAAUCUGCAUCCUUUCCCUAAUGAAAUAUACCAUCUCUGCUAUCAAUUCAGCAGUGUGCAAGCACACGCUCAGCUUUCUAGGAGCAAUUCAGUAACAUUCAACCACCCAGAUGUCUGGAAAUGUCUUCACCAGGAACCUGGGUGAGUAGCCAAGGGAAGUUUACCUCUGAAUUUCAGUGAUAUUCAGGUGAAUUUCAUGAUCUUUACUUGUUAUUAUCAGAAAUGAUGGUGUGAAGUACUUUAAUCAGUGUUAGAGUGCACAAAAUCUGCUGCUAUAGCAGUUCAUAAUAGGAGCUCAUUAUCAGCUACAAUAGCUGUCUCCUAGAAGGAAUGAAUAAAUAAACUGGGUUGAAAAUAUGAUGUGAAAAUAUUUCUAUUGUAUAACAUUAUGCAUAUAAUUCAUCAAAUUUUCUUAGUAGGUUGUGUUGUCUACCAUGACAUUAGCAAGGAUUUUGAUAUGUCUCCCGUUCUUGUAAUAUAGUUGGGAUGUUACAGUACAGAUGGGUAGACUACAAGGUGCAUGAAAUCCUGGGUAGGUUACUUGUCAACGUGUGUAGAUUCACCAUCCACACUUCACCUUGGUUGAAUGGUUACAUGUAAAGUUUUUAAGGACUCUGUCCCGGGACUGAUCCUAUUUAAAAAUGUGGAGAAGAGUGAAGAUAUAUUCAUCAUAUUUGUAUACAACACUGUCUGGGAUAGUGUUGUAUGCUAUCUACCUACAGUAGAUGGUCUUGAUGGCAGGGCUGCCAUUCAGAUGGACCUGGCUAGGCUAGAUGAAGCAAGGAACUUUGUGAAAUUGAACAAAGACAAAUGCAAAGACUUGCAUCUUGGACAGACAUACCCUUCAUCAGCACUGGCUGGGUACUGACUGGCUGGAUAGCAACCCUGUUGGAAAGCUGCCAGGAAUCCUCGGUGGACAGUAUGCUAAACACGAGUCACAUCUGGGUAACAGUGAUGGUGGCUAACAGUAUACUUGGCUGUAAAAAUGGGAUCGAUUCAGCCACUAGAUCAAAGGAAGAGCAUAAUCAGCUUGCUGUUCAUUAGAUCACUUCUGGAGACCUGAAUCCAGUUUUGAGCCUUUCAGGACAGUAAAGAGAUUGAUUAACUGGAAUGAGUUCAGCAAAUAGCCACCAAAAUGGAUGGAGGACGGAGCAUUCUUCCUGUGAGCAAAGAGGGAUCUGAGCUUGUUUAGCUGGAUCAGGAACAUUAGGGACCUCCAGCAGCACAGAGCCAUGAAUUUUACUGGCUUGCACAGUGAGAAGAUGAGUGACCAAAAAUUGAAGCAUGAGUGUUUCUGACAAGGUACAAUGGUAAUGUUUUUGUUAUGAGGAUAGAAUUCUUUGAUAGGUGAAGGUAACUAUUCUGUAACAAUAAUGACUGUGGGCUGAAGGAAACAAUUAUCCAACAGAAGGAAGGUGCAAUAUUGCGUUUGGGACAGGAUGUAGUCUUUUAGCCAGAUUACGAAGAUGUAACCUAGAGUUCAUGGGACACAGAAUACAUCUGCACAAGCCUAAAAGUGAGUCUGACUGUCUUGAAUUGCCGUAUCAAAACAAAAGAAUGAAUCACUCCUUAGAGACAGAUCACCAUGAUUUUUUUUCAGGUUUGAUACUUCAGGGGCACACGUGAAACUCUUCCUACCUAUUUUAAUGCUGUUACUACCAAUUUUGUUAUACAUGAUAGACGUACCUCUUAGAGUAUCUUUUAAUAUUUUAUUAAUAGUUUGACUUAAGUAAAAG